RNAcentral lists this ribosomal RNA (501 nucleotides) under uncultured bacterium. RNAcentral describes it as "partial 16S ribosomal RNA". It matches the Rfam family "Bacterial small subunit ribosomal RNA", at positions 29 to 523 of the family's 1533-position model. The record is from RNAcentral.
AUUGAACGCUGGCGGCAUGCCUUACACAUGCAAGUCGAACGGCAGCACGGGUGCUUGCACCUGGUGGCGAGUGGCGAACGGGUGAGUAAUACAUCGGAACGUACCUUAUCGUGGGGGAUAACGCAGCGAAAGCUGUGCUAAUACCGCAUACGCCCUGAGGGGGAAAGCGGGGGAUCGAAAGACCUCGCGCGAUUAGAGCGGCCGAUGCCUGAUUAGCUUGUUGGUGGGGUAAAAGCCCACCAAGGCGACGAUCAGUAGCUGGUCUGAGAGGACGGUCAGCCACACUGGGACUGAGAAACGGCCCAGACUCCUACGGGAGGCAGCAGUGGGGAAUUUUGGACAAUGGGGGCAACCCUGAUCCAGCAAUGCCGCGUGAGUGAAGAAGGCCUUCGGGUUGUAAAGCUCUUUUGUCAGGGAAGAAGCACCGGCUCUAACACAGUCCGGGAAUGACGGUACCUGAAGAAUAAGCACCGGCUAACUACGUGCCAGCCGCCGCCGUAA